GCUGGGCACAACGGCGUACGCCUGUAAUCCAUCAGCUUGGGAGGCUGAGGCAGGAGGAUCUCAAGUUCAAAGCCGGCCUCAGCAAAAUCGAGGUGCUAAGCAACCCAGUGAGACCCUGUCUCUA
This 124-nucleotide small RNA is filed under the name Marmota monax (woodchuck). Lineage: Eukaryota; Metazoa; Chordata; Mammalia; Rodentia; Sciuridae. The record is from RNAcentral.